This 371-nucleotide ribosomal RNA is filed under the name uncultured bacterium. Its description in RNAcentral is "bacterial SSU rRNA". It matches the Rfam family "Bacterial small subunit ribosomal RNA", at positions 523 to 898 of the family's 1533-position model. The record is from RNAcentral.
AUACGUAGGGGGCAAGCGUUAUCCGGAAUUACUGGGCGUAAAGGGUGCGUAGGUGGCCUGAUAAGUCAGGGGUCAAAGGCAACGGCUCAACCGUUGUAAGCCCCUGAAACUAUCGGGCUUGAGUUCAGGAGAGGAAAGCGGAAUUCCAAGUGUAGCGGUGAAAUGCGUAGAUAUUUGGAGGAACACCAGUGGCGAAGGCGGCUUUCUGGACUGAUACUGACACUGAGGCACGAAAGCGUGGGGAGCAAACAGGAUUAGAUACCCUGGUAGUCCACGCUGUAAACGAUGAGUACUAGGUGUUGGCCCUAAGGGUCAGUGCCGCAGUUAACACAUUAAGUACUCCGCCUGGGAAGUACGCUCGCAAGAGUGAA